Molecule: ribosomal RNA, 739 nt
Filed under: uncultured bacterium
Lineage: Bacteria
Description: bacterial SSU rRNA
Rfam family: Bacterial small subunit ribosomal RNA
Source: RNAcentral
CAUGCAGUCGAGCGGCAGCGGGAAAGUAGCUUGCUACUUUUGCCGGCGAGCGGCGGACGGGUGAGUAAUGCCUGGGGAUCUGCCCAGUCGAGGGGGAUAACAGUUGGAAACGACUGCUAAUACCGCAUACGCCCUACGGGGGAAAGGAGGGGACCUUCGGGCCUUUCGCGAUUGGAUGAACCCAGGUGGGAUUAGCUAGUUGGUGGGGUAAUGGCUCACCAAGGCGACGAUCCCUAGCUGGUCUGAGAGGAUGAUCAGCCACACUGGAACUGAGACACGGUCCAGACUCCUACGGGAGGCAGCAGUGGGGAAUAUUGCACAAUGGGGGAAACCCUGAUGCAGCCAUGCCGCGUGUGUGAAGAAGGCCUUCGGGUUGUAAAGCACUUUCAGCGAGGAGGAAAGGUUGGCGCCUAAUACGUGUCAACUGUGACGUUACUCGCAGAAGAAGCACCGGCUAACUCCGUGCCAGCAGCCGCGGUAAUACGGAGGGUGCAAGCGCUAAUCGGAAUUACUGGGCGUAAAGCGCACGCAGGCGGUUGGAUAAGUUAGAUGUGAAAGCCCCGGGCUCAACCUGGGAAUUGCAUUUAAAACUGUCCAGCUAGAGUCUUGUAGAGGGGGGUAGAAUUCCAGGUGUAGCGGUGAAAUGCGUAGAGAUCUGGAGGAAUACCGGUGGCGAAGGCGGCCCCCUGGACAAAGACUGACGCUCAGGUGCGAAAGCGUGGGGAGCAAACAGGAUUAG